RNAcentral lists this ribosomal RNA (247 nucleotides) under uncultured bacterium. RNAcentral's name for it is "partial 16S ribosomal RNA". It matches the Rfam family "Bacterial small subunit ribosomal RNA", at positions 15 to 244 of the family's 1533-position model. The record is from RNAcentral.
GAUCCUGGCUCAGGAUGAACGCUGGCGGCGUGCCUAACACAUGCAAGUCGAACGAGGUAAAUAAGAGGAAGUUCUCGGAUGGAACCGUAUUUACCGAGUGGCGGACGGGUGAGUAACGCGUGGAUAACCUGCCUCAUACAGGGGGGAUAACAGUUAGAAAUGACUGCUAAUACCGCAUAAGCGCACAGUACCGCAUGGUACGGUGUGAAAAACUCCGGUGGUAUGAGAUGGAUCCGCGUCUGAUUAG